AGAGUUUGAUCCUGGCUCAGGAUGAACGCUAGCGGCAGGCUUAACACAUGCAAGUCGAGGGGCAGCACGGACUUCGGUCUGGUGGCGACCGGCAAACGGGUGCGGAACACGUACGCAACAUACCGCUGACUGGGGCAUAGCCUUCUGAAAAGGAGAUUAACACCCCAUAGUAUCACUGACUGGCAUCAGUCUGGUGAUUAAAAAUUUAUUGGUUAGCGAUUGGCGUGCGUCCUAUUAGCUAGUUGGUAGGGUAACGGCCUACCAAGGCGACGAUAGGUAGCUGGUGUGAGAGCACGACCAGCCACACGGGCACUGAGACACGGGCCCGACUCCUACGGGAGGCAGCAGUGAGGAAUAUUGGUCAAUGGACGCAAGUCUGAACCAGCCAUGCCGCGUGAAGGAUGAAGGCGUUCUGCGUUGUAAACUUCUUUUAUUGGGGAAGAAACCUGGAUUUUCUAAUUCAGCCGACGGUACCCAAGGAAUAAGCACCGGCUAACUCCGUGCCAGCAGCCGCGGUAAUACGGAGGGUGCAAGCGUUAUCCGGAUUUACUGGGUUUAAAGGGUGUGUAGGCGGACUAUUAAGUCAGUGGUGAAAUCUCCGGGCUCAACCCGGAAACUGCCAUUGAUACUAUUAGUCUUGAAUGUUGUGGAGGUGGGCGGAACGGGUCAUGUAGCGGUGAAAUGCAUAGAUAUGACCCGGAACACCGAUUGCGAAGGCAGCCCGCUACGCAACGAUUGACGCUGAGGCACGAAAGCGUGGGGAUCAAACAGGAUUAGAUACCCUCGUAGUCC
This 792-nucleotide ribosomal RNA is filed under the name uncultured bacterium. Its description in RNAcentral is "bacterial SSU rRNA". It matches the Rfam family "Bacterial small subunit ribosomal RNA", at positions 8 to 796 of the family's 1533-position model. The record is from RNAcentral.